AGCAUCUGUGUAUUUUUUUUUUUUAACUUGUGGAUGAAGACUUAGAGAAAGGUGCAAAAACUAAAUCCUCUUUCACAUCCCACAUCCCAUUAUUUAGAAUGAGUUUUGAUUCAUAUAAAAAGGAAUAUU
Sciurus vulgaris (Eurasian red squirrel) is the source of this 129-nucleotide small nucleolar RNA. The record is from Ensembl. NCBI's taxonomy places the organism in Eukaryota, Metazoa, Chordata, Mammalia, Rodentia, Sciuridae.